UACGGAGGUGGCGAGCGUUACUCGGUUUGACUGGGUGUAAAGGGUCCGCAGGCGGUUUGAUAAGUAGAAAGUGAAAUCCUUCGGCUUAACCGGAGAACUGCUUUCUAAACUAUCAUACUGGAGGAUGGAAGAGGAAAACGGAACUGUCAGUGUAAGGGUGAAAUCUGUGGAUAUUGACAGGAACGUCAGUGGAGAAGUCGGUUUUCUGGUCCAUUCCUGACGCUCAGGGACGAAAGCUAGGGGAGCAAACAGAAUUAGAUACUCUGGUAGUCCUAGCCGUAAACUAUGGGCACUAGGUGUUCGGCCGCAAGGCUGGGUGCCGCAGCUAACGCGUUAAGUGCCCCACCUGGGGACUACGGCCGCAAGGCUAAA
RNAcentral lists this ribosomal RNA (372 nucleotides) under uncultured bacterium. RNAcentral's name for it is "bacterial SSU rRNA". It matches the Rfam family "Bacterial small subunit ribosomal RNA", at positions 524 to 898 of the family's 1533-position model. The record is from RNAcentral.